AGACACUAAAACAGUCAUACCUCUCAAGCGUCAAGUAUCUAAUGGAGAUGGUGUUGGAGGGAAACUCAAAGGAUGCAGCUUUAAGAAAACACAUAAUCUAUGCUAAUCUCUCUCUAAUUUAUGCUUUAAUCUUUCAAGUAAAUCCAUACCCCCUAACAGCAGUGUCCAGUGAAGCAGGAAGUCAAUGGGGACACUGGGAGAAAUGGGGACACAGACACUAGGGACACAGAGACACUAGG
Molecule: non-coding RNA, 239 nt
Organism: Pelobates cultripes (western spadefoot toad)
Lineage: Eukaryota; Metazoa; Chordata; Amphibia; Anura; Pelobatidae
Source: the annotation of a GenBank genome assembly